GAGGGGGCCCCUUUWUWCUUGAUUMGUGGGUGGUGGUGCAUGGCCGUUCUUAGUUGGUGGAGUGAUUUGUCUGKUUAAUUCCGUUAACGAACGAGACCUUAACCUGCUAAAUAGUCACGCGAACCGGUCCGCAAGGGCUCAAAGUUCGCGGCUCGACUUCUUAGAGGGACUAUUCGCACCCGCCAGCGAAUGGAAGUUUGAGGCAAUAACAGGUCUGUGAUGCCCUUAGAUGUUCUCGGCCGCACGCGCGUUACACUGACGGAGUCAACGAGCGUUUUUCCUUGCCCGAUAGGGYUGGGUAACCUCCUGAAACUCCGUCGUGAUGGGGAWAGAUCAUUGCAAUUAUUGAUCUUGAACGAGGAAUUCCUAGUAGGCGCGAGUCAUCAACUCGCGCCGAUUACGUCCCUGCCCUUUGUACACACCGCCCGUCGCUCCUACCGAUUGAACGGUCCGGCGAGAACUCCKGAUGGUCAA
RNAcentral lists this ribosomal RNA (474 nucleotides) under Vermamoeba vermiformis. RNAcentral's name for it is "SSU rRNA". Lineage: Eukaryota; Tubulinea; Echinamoebida; Vermamoebidae. The record is from RNAcentral.